AAAACUAUCAGGAAGAACGAUUCGUAAGGACUACAGUUUUCCACAUUGUAUUCAAAAAUUAAUUUCGCGUUUCCUGCAUUCUGGCAGCAUGUUGACAAGACCCUGAAAGCCCCCUUUCUUCAAAGAAUGUGACACCGAUUAAUCACCUACAUCAAUUCGGAUUUUUUUCGAAGAGGUGUAAUUGGUUACCUGGUGUCGGUGACAUAUUCUAGGUAACCCCUUUUGCUAACAAAAGAUAUGCUUGAUCAGUGAUCAGGACCCCGAGCACAUUGGAUUUUAUGUUUCCUGGGAAAAUGCAGUUCUAGCUGUUAUGAGGAUGGUGAACUGGCGAAAGCAGUAGACAAUGGUAGUCAACAUCAUGGAGACUCAGAAAAUUGUAUAUUGUAUGCAACAAAAAUAGAAUCAAACAUCAC
Molecule: long non-coding RNA, 413 nt
Filed under: Physcomitrium patens
Lineage: Eukaryota; Viridiplantae; Streptophyta; Bryopsida; Funariales; Funariaceae
Description: long non-coding RNA (PPAT_LNC008433)
Source: RNAcentral